UAUCUUUAGCAACACUUUUGA
This 21-nucleotide microRNA is filed under the name Drosophila simulans. Its description in RNAcentral is "dsi-miR-2582a-3p". The record is from miRBase by way of RNAcentral. Lineage: Eukaryota; Metazoa; Arthropoda; Insecta; Diptera; Drosophilidae.